UGGGGAAUAUUGCACAAUGGAGGGAACUCUGAUGCAGCGACGCCGCGUGAGUGAUGAAGGAAUUCGUUUCGUAAAACUCUGUUCUAUGGGAAGAAAAGGACUGUACCAUAGGAGAAAGCUCCGGCUAAAUACGUGCCAGCAGCCGCGGUAAUACGUAUGGAGCGAGCGUUGUCCGGAAUUAUUGGGCGUAAAGGGUGCACAGGCGGCUUUACAAGUUGGAUGUGAAAUAUUGUGGCUCAACCACAAACGUGCAUCCAAAACUGCAAAGCUUGAGUUAAGGAGAGGUAAGUGGAAUUCCUGGUGUAGCGGUGGAAUGCGUAGAUAUCAGGAGGAAUACCGGUGGCGAAGGCGACUUACUGGACUUAAACUGACGCUCAGGCACGAAAGCGUGGGGAGCAAACAGG
RNAcentral lists this ribosomal RNA (404 nucleotides) under Fusobacteriota bacterium. Its description in RNAcentral is "Fusobacteria bacterium partial 16S ribosomal RNA". It matches the Rfam family "Bacterial small subunit ribosomal RNA", at positions 355 to 776 of the family's 1533-position model. Lineage: Bacteria; Fusobacteriati; Fusobacteriota. The record is from RNAcentral.